RNAcentral lists this ribosomal RNA (228 nucleotides) under uncultured eukaryote. RNAcentral describes it as "partial small subunit ribosomal RNA". It matches the Rfam family "Eukaryotic small subunit ribosomal RNA", at positions 1208 to 1456 of the family's 1831-position model. The record is from RNAcentral.
GGAAAACUUACCAGGUCCAGACAUAGUGAGGAUUGACAGAUUGAGAGCUCUUUCUUGAUUCUAUGGGAGGUGGUGCAUGGCCGUUCUUAGUUGGUGGAGUGAUUUGUCUGGUUAAUUCCGUUAACGAACGAGACCACAGCCUGCUAAAUAGUCCGGAUUGUACUUUACAGUCUAGGGCUUCUUAGAGGGACACCGAGUUACCAAGCUCGGGGAAGUUUGUGGCGAUAA